GUGAUUUCUGAAGAACAGAAGUUUCUUUGUUGGGAAGUCUGAGAUUAGGGCACAGGCCUCUGGAGAGGGCAGCUGUCAGCUUCCAAGAUGGUGGCUUCCUCGGGAGGUCAGGAACUUCUCUCUCAUUGGACAGAAGGAAGAGAACACAGAGGGACACAUAAUCCCAUUCCUGAGACUCAACUGCUUUCUGAAGGCCAUACCUCCCAACACUGUUCCCUGGGAUCAAACUCAAUCCGAGCACGCAGCAGGUGCUCAUCUGCCUCCCUUCCCCUCACCCUGACUCCGGAUCCAAGGAAGAAGCUGUUUGCCACCUGUGUUUAAUGGGGUGCGAGCUUUGGAGAGCCUCCCUCAGGAGCAAGCAUUUUAGUAUCUUUAUUUGUGAUCAACAUGAUCAUACAUGUUCCCCUCCUCAGAUGAUUGGCAACAGAGCGUUAGUCACCUGUACAGAGCACUGGCUCAUGACUUGUGGAGCUGCUGUGGGGACCCAAGGGAAGAUCCAGUUAUUAAAUUUUACCCCCUCAUUGGCUGAAACACUCAUUAAGUGUUGAGGAUACAAUUAGGAACAAAGUGUGGACUUGCCCUCGGGAGUUAUCAUCAUAGACUCGGGAUACGCUUCCCCAGCUGACCUUUCCUACCUGAACUGAAUCCAGUGACGGAUCCAUAAUGGAGAAGAAACUGGCUGGAAGUAAACAGACGGAGCAACAAGCCGACUUGUGGAGUAGGUGGGAGAAGUGAAGCGUGAAGAACAGCCAGAAGAGACUCACAAUCAGCCGAGUGCUUUACGGGGCUCACAGUGGCCUAGAAGAGACGUCCUGACAGGAUGUAUAUAGACAGGCUUAACUGAAGAGGAAGACCCACCCUGAAUGUGAAUGGAAGCAUCCUUCGGACGGGGGUCCUGAACUGAAUACAAAGGGGAAAAGUGAGAAGUCCCCUGUGCAAUGUGGAGGUACAGGAAGCUCAGCCUUCGGGAAGAAAGAUGGCUGGAAGUCUGAGUCAUCUGUCCUCACCAUUCACCCAAGGAUCUGGUGUCCUGUUGGCUGCGGUGAUACUCCCUCUGUGUAAAACGAUUGAUCUUGCCGUCAAUGGUACCCUAAGUACCUCAUGGAUCAGGGAAUUGAGCAGUAAAUUCAGCGACUAGAAGACACAGAAAAGGCCGUCUGUGAGUGAGAAGACAUUCUGAGCUCCAAUGAGUACCUUGAAUGCCAUCAGUAGAUGGAGCAGUGGCUAGCUGGCCCAUGGAUCCUAUCAGAACUGAAAUUCAGCGUAAGGGGACGUCUACAAAGUUUGCAUUUCUGCACCAAGUACCUGGCUUGAUAACAGCUCUUGGCUUCUUCCACACAGCUGCAGAGAAGCUGGAGCCAAACCCUGCUUGCAUUUGAUGAGUCAUCCUGCAUCACCCAUGUGGGACAGACACCCAGGAGCUCCUGGGGCUGCUGUGUCGGCCUCCUGCUUUUCCAGAAGAUGGAGAGGCAGGGGUGAGGCACAGGGUUCAAGUACAUGCUUAGCACGUAGUACACCUUUAGCGCCUGCAAGACAGAGGUUUGAUCUCCGACACUCCCCAAUGACUCCAGGACUCUGCUCCCAGCCCUGGAAACAGAAGACACAUAGCUAAAUUCCCAAUCCCGGGACCAAUCAGGCACGGAGUGAUAUUGUGAGUUAACUCUCCAAGACUCCCAUCCAUUCCUCAUUGUUCACUUGCUGGCCCUAGGUAGAAAGACCAAAGAAACUGGCUGUACUUACAUCACAAACACACAAGUGAGAGGAUUUGGCAGUAGGUAUAUUUAGGAAAGCAUAUGACUGUGUGGAUUUGUUCUCUUUAUCUAUUCUGAGGCCAGGGCUUCCUGCUAUAUUGAGGUUAGACAUCAAAACAGGUUUUGAAUUUUUCAAGAAGUUUAACCAAGUGUGAGUAUAGAAUUUACUUCUCUAGGGAUUUUUAGUAUUCCUGUGUGUAUGUGCAUUAUAUAAUUUAAAUGUCAUUUUUUGGUUCUAGUUUGGUUUUGGUAUUGAGAAUUGAACCCAGGCCUUCUGCAUGCUGAAUGUGGUCUCUAGCCCUGAGAUACUCUGCUCCUAAAAGUCACUUUUUUCCCCCCUCCCAAGACAGGGUUUCUCUGUGUAACCUUGGCUGUCCUGGAACUUGCUCUGUAGACCAAAUUGGCCUCAAACUCCUAGAGAUUCGCCUGGCUCUGCCUCUCAAGUGCCUAGUAGUUGCUAUUCAUUUGCCUUAUCUUAUACGAACCUCAGAAAGGCAUAAUAACAUAUUUAUCAUGAACUCCAUGGAAA
Myodes glareolus (Bank vole) is the source of this 2280-nucleotide non-coding RNA. Lineage: Eukaryota; Metazoa; Chordata; Mammalia; Rodentia; Cricetidae. The record is from RefSeq and is a predicted model, not a curated record.